AAAACUUUCAACAACGGAUCUCUUGGCUCUCGCAUCGAUGAAGAACGCAGCGAAAUGUGAUAAGUAAUGUGAAUUGCAGAAUUCAGUGAAUCAUCGAAUCUUUGAACGCACCUUGCGCUCUCUGGUAUUCCGGAGAGCAUGUCUGUUUGAGUGUCAUGA
This 159-nucleotide ribosomal RNA is filed under the name Curvibasidium cygneicollum. RNAcentral describes it as "5.8S rRNA". It matches the Rfam family "5.8S ribosomal RNA". Rfam says of the family: 5.8S ribosomal RNA (5.8S rRNA) is a component of the large subunit of the eukaryotic ribosome. It is transcribed by RNA polymerase I as part of the 45S precursor that also contains 18S and 28S rRNA. The record is from RNAcentral. Lineage: Eukaryota; Fungi; Basidiomycota; Microbotryomycetes. RNAcentral also lists the same sequence under 3 other names.